CAAUGACAACAGCAACAAACAGAUCUCCUCAAGGUAAGUCUGUUGGCUGUCUUUUAAUGAAGACCAUCGCUGGACUUCAGGAUCUUCCUCCGUUCAGCUCAAGGUGAGGCGCUGGUUCUGUUUUUUCUUUGGUUGGUUCCGGCUGGAAUGUUCGGAUUCCAGUCGGACGGUUUGUGCUUCCCGCCGUGGAAGGUUCUGAGUGUGGUCACUUGAUUUUAGUCUCAAUUGUUAGCCUAGAACGUUGUAGUCUUGACAACCAUAAGAACGUUAGUUGGACGCAAGUCCCCUGUGGGACUCGGGCGGAACCUUGUGGAUUGUAUUUGCGUAACAUCGAACCGUUGGCAACGGAAACUAUUUUUCGGUCCGUUUCCAUUGGGAAUUGUUGCCCCUUAUCAUAAACAACUUAAGUUUGAUAUUAGUACAUACUGACACGUACAUCGUACAAUAUGUUGAUCAUUUCCGAUGGUUGCGCCGUACUUUUAACCACGUUGAAGGGACUCUCGCUGCGUACAAAAGAGCGUUCUACUUGCGUUGCGGGCACAUUUCUGACCAUCAGUGAAGGCUGAAAAUCAUUUCAACGUGGAAGAUAAUUUGGCAUUUCUUCAAGGGAUCCCAGCACCUGAAUAUGGCUGAGUAUAUUUGAUUUAAUAUCGAUACUGCUUAGGGUUCUUUGGUACUUCAGCUUUUGUACGUUCUAAAUAUCUGGUGUCAUUAAUUGCCACAGAGGUUAAACCCUACCAAAUGGAAUAACGUUAAACAACGACUUUGGUGCUGAGUUACCAGCUAGAUAAUAUCAAAGCUAAAAUAAUGGCAGACUUUCCCACAUGUUACAGUAGAAGAAACUCUAGAACUGUACAAGGUUGAAAAAGGUAACAUGUCGUUUGUCCCAAGGUGUCGGCCUCCUCACCCAGAGCCAGACCUCCACCUCCUCACUCAGAGCCAGACCGCCACCUCCUCACCCAGAGCCAGACCUCCACCUCCUCGCCCAGAGCCAGACCUCCACCUCCUGUCAGAAGUCCUCCAGAACAGCUGAAUGGCGAGGCUGAGAGGCUUGGGACCGGGGGCUUGUGGUGCCAGGAUGGACCGGAGACUGAGGCUGGAGACCAGGGACCUGCAGCACCGGACCAGAGGACCAGGAAUCCAUGGCUGAAGGAGCUGAUGGAGGAGGCCGUGCUGAAGGCCCUGCCUGGUGGAGGAGCUGAUGGAGGCCCAGCCUGGUGCAGGAUGUCUGUCCUGGGGUAGAUGGAGCCUCACUCUGAAGUGACCGUCACACUCACUGCCACUUCUCAUAGAAUACUGCUACCACAAACUACCGGCGUUUGUUAAAAUACCAGACAACUACAUCUGUUUCACCACAUGUUGAGGCAAGACCUGCGCUGUUUGUUCCAAACCAGGACUCUGUCUGAGGAGAGCUGAUGGAGGAGCUGAGACGCCGGAGGACGACUAGGAAUCGAUCAACAAGGACUCCUCAACGUGUUUCUAGAGUGGAGGCGAGCUGGUAGGGGAGCCGUGAAUCUGGAGGAUGACCAUCACUCUACCAACAAGGAUUGUAUAUUUGUUUUAACCUAACAAAGUGGAAAUAAAGGGCUUAAAAAUAAGACCAACUACAUGUUUGUUACCAGACGUUGGGGCAAGACUUGCGCUGGUUGUUCCAGACCAGGACUCUGGCUGAGGAGAGCUGAUGGAGGAGCCAAGACUCUGGAGGACGACAUCACUCUACCAACAAGGAUCCUCAACAGGAAUCUGGAGGACUGACGGAGAAGCUGUACCUCUGGAAGGCAAAUCCUGAGGACAACAAGGACUCUACCAUCAAGAUUUCCUCGGGCAGACACACCUGAGCUGAACCUCACCUGAUCCUGUUUGGUCGGGGCCAGACACACCUGAGCUGAACCUCACCUGAUCCUGUUUGGUCGGGGGCAGACACACCUGAGCUGAACCCCACCUGAUCCUGAUACCCUGCUGGUCCCGUCUCAGUUCAUCUGAGCCUCGUCCUCCAGAAGACCUGCUGAGCUCAGCGGUCUGAGGCUGAUAGAUCAAUGACCUCCAGUGGGAGUGACCUUCUUGACCGCACAUGUACCCGUGUGCUUCCACACGUCCAUCACUAACCUCGCUACUUCCCUACUCUCCACUCCUUCCCCUUCUUCUUCCUUCUCCGUGGUUCGAACCUUUACUCUGAAGGAGUGCCUUCUUCAACCUUUACACUGAAGAAGCGUCUUCCUGCCCUCAGAGGGUUCAGCGUUAGGGUUUAGAGUCAGGGUUUAGAGUCAGGGACAGAGCUGGUCAGGGAGGAAUGGUUUUACACAAACCUCUUCACUUGCUUUCUGAAUGGUGGUGACAUUUUGAAAUGUUUCCUUUGGGAAAAUGUUUUCCUCUGCUUUCCUUUACAAAAAUAUGUAUCAAACUUCUGUAAAGUGUUUCGUUUAUGUAUUAAAAAUCCUACAUUGACUUCUGCAUGUUUGGU
Gadus macrocephalus (Pacific cod) is the source of this 2461-nucleotide long non-coding RNA. RefSeq lists it as uncharacterized. The transcript is spliced from 6 exons. The record is from RefSeq and is a predicted model, not a curated record. NCBI's taxonomy places the organism in Eukaryota, Metazoa, Chordata, Actinopteri, Gadiformes, Gadidae.